UACGAAGGUGGCAAGCGUUGUUCGGAUUUACUGGGCGUACAGGGAGCGUAGGCGGUUGGAUAAGCCCUCCGUGAAAUCUCCAGGCUUAACCUGGAAAGUGCAGAGGGGACUGUUCAGCUAGAGGAUGGGAGAGGAGCGCGGAAUUCCCGGUGUAGCGGUGAAAUGCGUAGAGAUCCGGAGGAACACCAGCGGCGAAGGCGGCAUCCUGGACUGGUCCUGACACUCAGGAGCGAAAGCGUGGGGAGCGAUCCGG
Molecule: ribosomal RNA, 253 nt
Filed under: uncultured bacterium
Lineage: Bacteria
Description: partial 16S ribosomal RNA
Rfam family: Bacterial small subunit ribosomal RNA
Source: RNAcentral